RNAcentral lists this signal recognition particle RNA (284 nucleotides) under Planctomycetes bacterium RBG_16_59_8. RNAcentral's name for it is "signal recognition particle sRNA large type". It matches the Rfam family "Bacterial large signal recognition particle RNA". From Rfam's summary of the family: The signal recognition particle (SRP) is a universally conserved ribonucleoprotein involved in the co-translational targeting of proteins to membranes. Archaeal SRP consists of a 7S RNA and homologues of the eukaryotic SRP19 and SRP54 proteins. The record is from RNAcentral. Lineage: Bacteria; Pseudomonadati; Planctomycetota.
CUGCGCUAGACGGGGAGGUAGCGGUGCCCUCUUCCCGCGAAAGUGGGAUGCCUGCAACCCGCUACAGCAGGGUCGAAUGCCUUCCGGCGGUCCGCGCGGCAUACGGUUGUUCGGGGAUAAGCGGCGACGAAGGCUGGGUCCUAUGCAAUUGAAGGGUAGCGAACCCCGCCAGGUCCGGAAGGAAGCAACGGUAGCUAUUUUCUUCUUUGUGCCGUAGGGUCGCCUGGCUGGAGCAGGCUGUUCCCGCGCGCCGUGUGCGGCAGGAUCCACGGAAGGUUGCGCAG